Long non-coding RNA from Helianthus annuus (common sunflower), 1763 nucleotides. RefSeq lists it as uncharacterized. The transcript has 7 exons. NCBI's taxonomy places the organism in Eukaryota, Viridiplantae, Streptophyta, Magnoliopsida, Asterales, Asteraceae. The record is from RefSeq and is a predicted model, not a curated record.
UCCAAUGUAUAAAGCAUUCAUAGAAUCUAACCUCACACCAUACCAAUCCUUAUGUCAGGAUCCUCUUCAAAGGAGAAAGAAAAACAAAGGUAUGCUUUUGCAAAAUAUAAGUUUCUGGUUUAUUUGUUAUAUAGAUUUUUGAAGUUUAUUUUUGAUGGUGUAGUAUAUAAAGAAGAACAGAUAUCCAAGAUGGGAUGCAAUUGGGCUAUUGCAUCCUAACUCCCAAGAUUGAGUUGUCUAAAUACAAGACUGUUAGUUAGAAAUUGCACCUAAAAUAACACAUACAAACCCAGUUACGAUGAGGUUGUUUUGCUGUUUAAAAACAUGAAUCAUUGGGUUAUGUUGACAUUAGCACGGGGGAUAUUGUGCACAACAAGAGGAAAGGGUUUACGGCUCCUCCAUUUAUAAUAUCUCCAAGAAUAAGUUUUGAAGUUAGCGUUCGACUUCUUGGUGAUUUAAUGGUAGGAGUGUACACAAUAGCUUCCAUUUUAAAAAGAAGUAGCCAUGUGUUCAAAUAUGAAAGUGUACGUGUGCGUGAAAAUCGACUGGUUGGAACAAGUAAACCGACGUUAUGUUCAGGUGCUAGGAAGAGACCGGUUACUUGUUAGAUGUGUUGCUAAGUGUCUGGGAUUAGAAGGGUGGUAAAUUCGAUGAACAUAUCUUGGUGAUUUAAUGGUAUGAGUGUAUACAAUAGCAUCCAUUUUAAAAAGAAGUAGCCAUGUGUUCAAAUAUGAAAGUGUACGUGUGCGUGAAAAUCGACUGGUUGGAACGUAAUCCGACGUUAUGUUCAGGACGAGGACUCCAAAGAGCUUGAAGACAUCGUCAUCAAAAUAGAUGGUGAGAAUGUAGUUUACGCAUACAAUGAGGUCGAUGUGAGUUAUUUAUUGGCAUGUGGUUUUCGUAUCAUUGAUACAUCUCAACUGAGCACACAACAAAGAUUACUUGGCAUGUAGCUUUUAUGGAAAGUAUUUGAACCAACUAGCAAAGUGGGCGGGCCAGGCAGGUCCAUAGAGAUGUUCACAUUCAUGUUUCAAAUGUGGGGUCUGCCAAAGUUGUCGGAACCUAUGGAGAAGAGUGGUAGUGGUGAUAGAUUAUUACUUUUGUAGUGGUGAUUUUAUUGUUAAUAGUAUCGUGUUGUUGUCAUGUGUUUACCGGUUUGGAAAGACAGUGUCAAAACGAGUUAUUUGGUUAAGUCCCUAAGGCAUGCUCUAUUAUGCAGUUUGGAUGUGAAUAGAUUAGCGGAUGACUUCUUCUGGAAUAAAAUAGUUAUACCAAAAGUCAGUUUAUUUUUAUGGAGAGCAGUGGAGGGAAGGAUUCCAACAGUGGCGAUGUUGUCGAGUAGAGGAUCCAGAUGCAAAAUGUAGAAUGCGUCUUUUGCAACGGCGGGUUAUCUAUUAAUUACCAACAGGUUUAUGGAAGGAGUAUGGCAUCACAUAAAAAAGUUUGUUGAAUAUACCCUUGGGCCAAAACAUUGAUAAAGUUUGUGAAAAAAUGGUAUAAACGACUUGGAUUGUUUAACGGCUCGGAGAAGAUUGAUUCAUGCAGUCUAUGCUUUAACGAUGUCGAGUAUUUGGAAAGCAAGAAACGAGAAAGUGUUCAAAAGUGCAAACGCGGUUCAGCACAAGAUCAUUGAAGAGAUAAAGGAGGCGACUUUUCAUUGGGUCAUACUGUAACACCCCGUGUUACCGAAUGUCAAAGUCAAAGUCAAAGUCAAAGUCAAAGUCAAAGUCAAGUUUGACUUCUUUGACUGUAAUUAGCCUAUU